CAGUAGCCGCGGUAAAACGUAGGGUGCGAGCGUUAAUCGGAAUUAUUGGGCGUAAAGGGCUCGCAGGCGGUUUCUUAAGUCUGAUGUGAAAGCCCCCGGCUCAACCGGGGAGGGUCAUUGGAAACUGGGAAACUUGAGUGCAGAAGAGGAGAGUGGAAUUCCACGUGUAGCGGUGGAAUGCGUAGAGAUGUGGAGGAACACCAGUGGCGAAGGCGACUCUCUGGUCUGUAACUGACGCUGAGGAGCGAAAGCGUGGGGAGCGAACAGGAUUAGAUACCCCAGUAGUUCCUGUCUCUUAUAC
Molecule: ribosomal RNA, 301 nt
Filed under: uncultured bacterium
Lineage: Bacteria
Description: partial 16S ribosomal RNA
Rfam family: Bacterial small subunit ribosomal RNA
Source: RNAcentral